UAAACUAGAAAUGUGGCCCCUCUCCCC
RNAcentral lists this non-coding RNA (27 nucleotides) under Mus musculus (house mouse). The record is from RNAcentral. Lineage: Eukaryota; Metazoa; Chordata; Mammalia; Rodentia; Muridae.